RNAcentral lists this ribosomal RNA (497 nucleotides) under uncultured bacterium. RNAcentral describes it as "partial 16S ribosomal RNA". It matches the Rfam family "Bacterial small subunit ribosomal RNA", at positions 28 to 507 of the family's 1533-position model. The record is from RNAcentral.
GAUGAACGCUGGCGGCGUGCCUAAUACAUGCAAGUCGAGCGAACAGAUGAGGAGCUUGCUCUCCUGACGUUAGCGGCGGACGGGUGAGUAACACGUGGAUAACCUACCUAUAAGACUGGGAUAACUACGUGAAACCGGAUCUAAUACCGGAUAAUAUAUUCAACCGCAUGGUUCAGUAGUGAAAGACGGUUUUGCUGUCACUUAUAGAUGGAUCCGCGCCGCAUUAGCUAGUUGGUAAGGUAACGGCUUACCAAGGCAACGAUGCGUAGCCGACCUGAGAGGGUGAUCGGCCACACUGGAACUGAGACACGGUCCAGACUCCUACGGGAGGCAGCAGUAGGGAAUCUUCGGCAAUGGGCGAAAGCCUGACGGAGCCACACCGCGUGAGUGAUGAAGGUCUUCGGAUCGUAAAGCUCUGUUAUUAGGGAAGAAAAGAUGUAUAAGAAACUAAGCAUGUCUUGACGGUACCUAAACAGAAAGCCCCGGCUAACUACGUG